This 446-nucleotide ribosomal RNA is filed under the name uncultured bacterium. RNAcentral describes it as "partial 16S ribosomal RNA". It matches the Rfam family "Bacterial small subunit ribosomal RNA", at positions 338 to 795 of the family's 1533-position model. The record is from RNAcentral.
CCUACGGGGUGCAGCAGUCGAGAAUCAUUCACAAUGGGGGAAACCCUGAUGGUGCGACGCCGCGUGGGGGAAUGAAGGUCUUCGGAUUGUAAACCCCUGUCAUGUGGGAGCAAAUUAAAAAGAUCGUACCACACGAGGAAGAGACGGCUAACUCUGUGCCAGCAGCCGCGGUAAUACAGAGGUCUCAAGCGUUGUUCGGAAUCACUGGGCGUAAAGCGUGCGUAGGCUGUUUCGUAAGUCGUGUGUGAAAGGCGCGGGCUCAACCCGCGGACGGCACAUGAUACUGCGAGACUAGAGUAAUGGAGGGGGAACCGGAAUUCUCGGUGUAGCAGUGAAAUGCGUAGAUAUCGAGAGGAACACUCGUGGCGAAGGCGGGUUCCUGGACAGUAACUGACGCUGAGGCACGAAGGCCAAGGGAGCGAAAGGGAUUAGAUACCCCGGUAGUC